Molecule: non-coding RNA, 854 nt
Organism: Vigna umbellata (rice bean)
Lineage: Eukaryota; Viridiplantae; Streptophyta; Magnoliopsida; Fabales; Fabaceae
Source: RefSeq, a predicted model, not a curated record
AGAGUUCUCAGUAUUAUAAUGCUUAUAUUUUCUAGUCUUGUUGUUAAAGGGUAUGAUUUUUAUAGUUCAGUUGCUACAUUAUAUAAUUUUCGGAGGGAUAGUUGACAUAGGGAUGAUAUUAAGGUGUCUUAGCUAGUCUAGAAAGGCCUCUUUAUACCCUAAUGAGCUGAAAACACUUGUGUGAAGGUAAGUUAGUGCUUAUAUCCAUUUCAGAAUUUAAAAUUAUGUAUAAUUCUGAUAUGAACUGCCAUGGACUUGUAUUAUUGAUGUGACUUUCAAUUCACCAUAGAACCUUGUGUUUGGUUGGAUAGGUGGUGAUGUAAAGUAUAUUAAGAGUAGUGGUUUAAAGCUGGUACGUGCGUGAGUGAUGAAUGGGUGUUUAAAAGGAACUGAAUAAUUUUAUUUAUUUCAGAACACUGGCAAGUACUGGUUUGGGUGGUCAGCUUUCUGGAGAUAUUGGAUCACUGUCUGAAUUGGAGAUUUUAUAACAGAAUCGGGCACAUUCCUGUGAUUGAUGAGAAGGGGAUGGUUGGAAUGGUGUCCAUUGGUGAUGUGGUUCAUGUUGGGGUGCGCGAGCACCGUCAAGAGUUUGAGCAUUUGAAUGCUUUCAUACAAGGGGUUAUUAGAUGAUGAUGAUGGUGAAAAUCUCUGAAGAGCACUGAAGCUAAUUUGGAUUAAGUAAUAAGCCUGAGUGUUUGUAAAUAUGUUUGUGAUUUCAGUUCUAUAGCAGCAUGUUAAUAAUAACAACCGGAUGCAUUUUGAAUCUGUUUUCAACUCUCGAAAACAUAUUUCACUGUUCAUUGAGUGCAAGUUCAAAUCUGCACUCUGCUGAUGGUAACUUUUCUUUUUGCCUU